AUGGAGCAGGGCGUCGUCGACUCCCUCGUCGCCAGGAGCCCAUUCCUGGAGGUCCUCAACAUCCUGGGAUGCAAGUGGCUGCGCCUCCGCCUCAUCAGUCAGAGCCUACGGUGCGUGCUCGAGAACGGAGGACAUCGCCGUGGUAAAGGGCAGGUCCUAAAGGUCCGAGACACCAUCGUCAUGAGUAAAAGAUGCGCUGAACCCACUGGCAACUACCUCACACUCCAGUUCUGGGAAGAGUCUGACCUCGAAGAAAACCUCGUCUCGCGCAUCAGUGUGAUGAGUUUCCGUGAGUUCACCGGGGAACCAGGCGAGGUCGGCUUCCUCGAGUUCUUCUUCCAGAGUGCGCGGGCGCUGGAGACCGCGUCUGUUUCCAUGGCCAACUCAACCUUCACACCGUUCUCGACGCAGGAGGCGUAUGCCAAAGUGAAACGCAGCUCGAGGAUCAAGGCAAGUGAGUCCAACAUGGUUGUCCUUGGAAGCACCGGCCCCGCGGGAGGUGAGAAACUAAUGUCAGAGGCAUCACAUUGA
This 531-nucleotide ribosomal RNA is filed under the name Triticum aestivum (bread wheat). RNAcentral describes it as "partial small subunit ribosomal RNA". Lineage: Eukaryota; Viridiplantae; Streptophyta; Magnoliopsida; Poales; Poaceae. The record is from RNAcentral.